This 497-nucleotide ribosomal RNA is filed under the name uncultured bacterium. RNAcentral describes it as "partial 16S ribosomal RNA". It matches the Rfam family "Bacterial small subunit ribosomal RNA", at positions 28 to 507 of the family's 1533-position model. The record is from RNAcentral.
GAUGAACGCUGGCGGCGUGCCUAAUACAUGCAAGUCGAGCGAACGGACGAGAAGCUUGCUUCUCUGAUGUUAGCGGCGGACGGGUGAGUAACACGUGGAUAACCUACCUAUAAGACUGGGAUAACUUCGGGAAACCGGAGCUAAUACCGGAUAAUAUUUUGAACCGCAUGGUUCAAAAGUGAAAGACGGUCUUGCUGUCACUUAUAGGUGGAUCCGCGCUGCAUUAGCUAGUUGGUAAGGUAACGGCUUACCAGGGCAACGAUGCAUAGCCGACCUGAGAGGGUGAUCGGCCACACUGGAACUGAGACACGGUCCAGACUCCUACGGGAGGCAGCAGUAGGGAAUCUUCCGCAAUGGGCGAAAGCCUGACGGAGCAACGCCGCGUGAGUGAUGAAGGUCUUCGGAUCGUAAAACUCUGUUAUUAGGGAAGAACAUAUGUGUAAGUAACUGUGCACAUCUUGACGGUACCUAAUCAGAAAGCCACGGCUAACUACGUG